GUGGUUGUAGCUCAGUGGUAGAGCGCUCGCCUAGCAUGCGUGAGGCACUGGGUUCGAUCCCUGGCACCACA
This 71-nucleotide transfer RNA is filed under the name Ictidomys tridecemlineatus (thirteen-lined ground squirrel). RNAcentral describes it as "Spermophilus tridecemlineatus (thirteen-lined ground squirrel) tRNA". It matches the Rfam family "tRNA". From Rfam's summary of the family: Transfer RNA (tRNA) molecules are approximately 80 nucleotides in length. Their secondary structure includes four short double-helical elements and three loops (D, anti-codon, and T loops). Lineage: Eukaryota; Metazoa; Chordata; Mammalia; Rodentia; Sciuridae. The record is from Rfam by way of RNAcentral.